GAAUUUUGGACAAUGGGGGAAACCCUGAUCCAGCCAUUCCGCGUGAGUGAAGAAGGCCUUCGGGUUGUAAAGCUCUUUCGGCAGGGAAGAAACGCUCUGGCUUAAUACGCCGGGGUAAUGACGGUAACUGCAGAAGAAGCACCGGCUAACUACGUGCCAGCAGCCGCGGUAAUACGUAGGGUGCGAGCGUUAAUCGGAAUUACUGGGCGUAAAGCGUGCGCAGGCGGUUUUGUAAGACAGGUGUGAAAUCACCGGGCUUAACCUGGGAACUGCGCUUGUGACUGCAAGACUCGAGUACGGCAGAGGGGGGUGGAAUUCCACGUGUAGCAGUGAAAUGCGUAGAGAUGUGGAGGAACACCGAUGGCGAAGGCAGCCCCCUGGGUCGAUACUGACGCUCAUGCACGAAAGCGUGGGGAGCAAACAG
This 424-nucleotide ribosomal RNA is filed under the name uncultured bacterium. Its description in RNAcentral is "bacterial SSU rRNA". It matches the Rfam family "Bacterial small subunit ribosomal RNA", at positions 359 to 775 of the family's 1533-position model. The record is from RNAcentral.